GUCCUCUUCUAGCUGAGCUACUCGUGCAACAAGGAAUGGAAUCGAAAACAUGAGAGAGAGAGAGUCACACAGGGCACCGUAUCGCUUCGUGCCUCGUUCCGCCACUCUGUGAGGGCUACAGACAUUUUCCCAGUGGCGAAGAUGGUUUAUUAUUCACUUACAAUGUAUGCGAACAAAUUUGUUCUUUCCUUUUUCCUGCAUGACUCAUCGCGUCUCUCCUGAGUGGUCUCAAUGUAACGAAAGCAAUUGACACUGUCAGUUUAUACAAUCUGUUCAUGACGGACACUCUGAUUUGUCGACGUUUUAAGCAUUCUCUUUUUAAAUUAUGAAUUCCAAAAUAAUUUCCUGUUUUCUACUAGCCAGUGUCUGUUUAGUGAAUUGUGACCAUUUAAUUUUGGGCGAUCCAAAUAACAAACAAAUAAUUCACCACACCGUAGCAGAGUACAGUGCCUACCCGUUUAUAAAGAGAAGCAAGGACGUAUUCUAUAAUAAUGAAGAGCAAAAGAUUAUCAACACAAUACUGAUCUACGACAAUCUGCAUUCGAAGGCGACGGCAAAAAUCACUGCUGGAGGUAUCGGCUACUCGUACGUCAAUAUACGGCUGGAAAGCGAACGGGGGAGGGGACUGGACUAUGAUAUAGGAAUAUAUUCUUAGCUACAUUCAUCAUUGUUUAAUUUGAAGAUAAAUGACCAUUGCCCUAAUCUAGCUGUGGUGGUCAUAUCAGCAUUGUCUAAUUUAAAUUUAAAUACUCUAUGGAAAUAUAGUAUCGUUGAGUUAGUAUCCAUAACACAAGUCUCGAACUUACUGUGGAGCUAGCUCAAUCUGUAUGAUUUGUCCUAAUAUAUUUAUCUUAUUUAUUUA
Molecule: long non-coding RNA, 862 nt
Organism: Plodia interpunctella (Indianmeal moth)
Lineage: Eukaryota; Metazoa; Arthropoda; Insecta; Lepidoptera; Pyralidae
Exons: 2
Source: RefSeq, a predicted model, not a curated record